RNAcentral lists this long non-coding RNA (201 nucleotides) under Buteo japonicus. RNAcentral's name for it is "lncRNA (ENSBJAG00000006214.1)". Lineage: Eukaryota; Metazoa; Chordata; Aves; Accipitriformes; Accipitridae. The record is from RNAcentral.
CAGAAGGUUCUAGCCUAUUGGCAAGCUGCAGUGAAGAUGUGCACGAAGCAGAUGACCCUGAGCCAGCAGAGGCCUCACAGCUUGAAGAUAAUCAAGAUGUGAAUAUGAAAUGUAGUUUUCUGGGACUUCCCUUAUCAUUAGGAUUUGCUUUUCAACUUGUACAGCUCUUUGGCGCUCCAGGUCUUCCACUAGGUACCAGUU